AUUAACUUCAUUUUUCAGUUUUUAGAUACAAUGUUUUGACUCUUUGUCUAAUUUAAAAAUUUUUUGUGAUUAAUAUUUUUAUUGUUACCGGAUAGUAAAACAUAAAUAGUACUUUAUGCGUGACUAGUUUCUUUAAGUUUUUUUAUAAAUUUUUCAAAUAAGAUGGAUGGUCAAACGUUGGAGCAUAGAAAUCGAAAAAUAAAGUUAUU
This 209-nucleotide microRNA precursor is filed under the name Oryza brachyantha (malo sina). Its description in RNAcentral is "MIR812 microRNA precursor family". It matches the Rfam family "MIR812 microRNA precursor family". The record is from Rfam by way of RNAcentral. Lineage: Eukaryota; Viridiplantae; Streptophyta; Magnoliopsida; Poales; Poaceae.